This is a long non-coding RNA of Fukomys damarensis (Damara mole-rat), 380 nucleotides long. RefSeq lists it as uncharacterized. Lineage: Eukaryota; Metazoa; Chordata; Mammalia; Rodentia; Bathyergidae. The transcript is spliced from 3 exons. The record is from RefSeq and is a predicted model, not a curated record.
UGUGGCUGCUGGAUUUCAAGACAAAACUUGCAGAAUGACUUAAAAGCUGUGCAGCUACCAAGAUGACAAUGACAGGUGCCUACCGGAGGCCUUUAGAUAGACUCUCUGUAGAAUAAUUUGAACUGCUGAUCACAGCUAUGAACCUCUUCAGCUGGAGUAACCAGAGCUGUCUUCGUCCUUUACCCCCUCACAGUGGUUAGGGGUGCAUAGCCAUUAGUGGUGAGGGCUUCCUGGAAAAGUCAGGAUGGAUCACCAUGGACCUACAGAAACAUAUCUAUCCCCAGAGUCUGAGCAGCUGUAAGAGCAUCCAAAGGAUGGCUGAGGAGUGGUAGGCCCAGCCACUGCCUGACACAUAUUGUUUGAGCCAGUAUAUACAUGAC